AGAGUUUGAUCAUGGCUCAGAGUUAACGCUGGCAGCGUGCAUAACACAUGCAAGUCGAGCGGGUUCUGGCAGAGUAUCGCUAGGAUUAGCGGCAGACGAGUGAGUAACACGUAAGAAAUCUGCCCCGAAGCAGGGGACAACUUGCCGAAAGGCGAGCUAAUACCCUAUAUAAUCCCACGAUGGCAUCUUUAUGGGAUGAA
RNAcentral lists this ribosomal RNA (200 nucleotides) under uncultured bacterium. Its description in RNAcentral is "partial 16S ribosomal RNA". It matches the Rfam family "Bacterial small subunit ribosomal RNA", at positions 8 to 204 of the family's 1533-position model. The record is from RNAcentral.